AUUGAACGCUGGCGGCACGCUUAACACAUGCAAGUCGAGCGGGGUGAUGGUGCUUGCACUAUCACUUAGCGGCGGACGGGUGAGUAAUGCUUAGGAAUCUGCCUAUUAGUGGGGGACAACGUCUCGAAAGGGAUGCUAAUACCGCAUACGUCCUACGGGAGAAAGCAGGGGAUCACUUGUGACCUUGCGCUAAUAGAUGAGCCUAAGUCGGAUUAGCUAGUUGGUGGGGUAAAGGCCUACCAAGGCGACGAUCUGUAGCGGGUCUGAGAGGAUGAUCCGCCACACUGGGCCUGAGACACGGCCCAGACGCCUACGGGAGGCAGCAGUGGGGAAUAUUGGACAAUGGGGGGAACCCUGAUCCAGCCAUGCCGCGUGUGUGAAGAAGGCCUUAUGGUUGUAAAGCACUUUAAGCGAGGAGGAGGCUCUUUUGGUUAAUACCCAAGAUGAGUGGACGUUACUCGCAGAAUAAGCACCGGCUAACUCUGUGCCAGCCGCCGCCGUAA
This 503-nucleotide ribosomal RNA is filed under the name uncultured bacterium. RNAcentral's name for it is "partial 16S ribosomal RNA". It matches the Rfam family "Bacterial small subunit ribosomal RNA", at positions 30 to 523 of the family's 1533-position model. The record is from RNAcentral.